This 165-nucleotide ribosomal RNA is filed under the name uncultured bacterium. Its description in RNAcentral is "partial 16S rRNA". It matches the Rfam family "Bacterial small subunit ribosomal RNA", at positions 355 to 511 of the family's 1533-position model. The record is from RNAcentral.
UAGGGAAUCUUCGGCAAUGGACGAAAGUCUGACCGAGCAACNCCGCGUGAGUGAAGAAGGUUUUCGGAUCGUAAAACUCUGUUGGUAGAGAAGAACGUUGGUGAGAGUGGAAAGCUCAUCAAGUGACGGUAACUACCCAGAAAGGGACGGCUAACUACGUGCCAG